CACAAGCAGCGGAGCGUGUGGUUUAAUUCGAUGCAACGCGAAGAACCUUACCAGGGCUUGACAUCCCUCUGACAGUCCCUUAACCGGGACCUUCUUCGGACAGAGGAGACAGGUGGUGCAUGGUUGUCGUCAGCUCGUGUCGUGAGAUGUUGGGUUAAGUCCCGCAACGAGCGCAACCCUUGUCUUUAGUUGCCAUCAUUCAGUUGGGCACUCUAGAGAGACUGCCGAGGACAACUCGGAGGAAGGUGGGGAUGACGUCAAAUCAUCAUGCCCCUUAUGUCCUGGGCUACACACGUGCUACAAUGGCUGGUACAAAGAGACGCAAGACCGCGAGGUGGAGCAAAUCUCAAAAACCAGUCCCAGUUCGGAUUGCAGGCUGCAACUCGCCUGCAUGAAGUCGGAGUUGCUAGUAAUCGCAGAUCAGAAUGCUGCGGUGAAUGCGUUCCCGGGUCUU
Molecule: ribosomal RNA, 454 nt
Filed under: uncultured Eubacteriales bacterium
Lineage: Bacteria; Bacillati; Bacillota; Clostridia; Eubacteriales
Description: bacterial SSU rRNA
Rfam family: Bacterial small subunit ribosomal RNA
Source: RNAcentral